UGGAUCACCUCCUAACAGGGAGACAACAAAAUGUUUAAUAUUAUUAUUUUGUCACCUUAGGUCGAUCGGUAUCUCACGUUCUUAACUUAUUAAGAAUUUCAUUUCCUAAGUUUUUCUAGGUCACACCCAUUAUUUUCCUGGGCCAUUAGCUCAGGUGGUUAGAGCGCACCCCUGAUAAGGGUGAGGUCCCUGGUUCAAGUCCAGGAUGGCCCAUAUCUCUAUGUUGGGGGUAUAGCUCAGUUGGUAGAGCGCCUGCUUUGCAAGCAGGAUGUCAGCGGUUCGAGUCCGCUUACCUCCACUGAUUACCACCUCUUCCAUAAUCGGUAGAAAGGAAAUGUUUUGAGUUGUGAUCAAAUUCUGAACGAAUCUAGCUUCCUAAUGAAAUUAUUAAGAUGCUGGACUCAUUGAAUUAAUUUCAUUGUUUUCAGAGAACCUUGACAACUGCAUAGAUUAUUUUUUUAAAGACAAUAAGCAUCUUUAAUGAUGCAGAUUUAUUAUUUGUGCGAAUGCAUUAAUAACAAUUCUAUUAAGCUGAUGCUUCAAAAUUUUGAAGUUAUUGGUCAAGCUACAAAGGGCUCACGGAGGAUACCUAGGCACACAGAGGCGAUGAAGG
This 613-nucleotide transfer RNA is filed under the name uncultured Prochlorococcus sp. RNAcentral describes it as "partial contains 16S ribosomal RNA, 16S-23S ribosomal RNA intergenic spacer, and 23S ribosomal RNA". The stretch from base 226 to 298 matches the Rfam family "tRNA". The record is from RNAcentral. Lineage: Bacteria; Bacillati; Cyanobacteriota; Cyanophyceae; Synechococcales; Prochlorococcaceae.